UGAAAACCGAUGACGGAAAAGAGAAACCGUAACGUCCUCAGAGAGCCGAUGGUUGGUGCAAAUCGGUGGCGUAAAGUAUUCUUGAGCGUUCCUGAGAUAUUUCGCUGAAACUUGGAGUAGGCGCAAAUCGGAUGAUAUCCGUUACCAAUCAUGGUCUGAACAGACCGCUUGAGGCUGCCGCAUCUUGGCAGCGAAUAAGGGUGGCACCACGAAUAACUCUCGUCCCUUAC
Molecule: non-coding RNA, 230 nt
Filed under: Paenibacillus sp.
Lineage: Bacteria; Bacillati; Bacillota; Bacilli; Caryophanales; Paenibacillaceae
Description: T-box sequence
Rfam family: T-box leader
About the family: Uncharged tRNA acts as the effector for transcription antitermination of genes in the T-box leader family. T-boxes are found upstream of many aminoacyl-tRNA synthetase genes and some amino acid biosynthetic genes usually in Gram-positive bacteria.
Source: RNAcentral